CUCCCCAACUGAGAGGACAAAGAGAGCUGUCCCCCAGGAGAGGUCUGGAAGCUUCAAGGACAUGGAAGAUCAGGAAGAAGCGCACUGACACAUGCCCAGGAGUUAUCAUCCUCACCCCCCAGAAGUGACCCGAAGCCAGGAUGGCCGAUGCAAGAAAUUCACAAAAGCCCAACCCUUCUGCAAGGAGGGACACGCCUGCAGGGCCACACACACGCCAGAGCUCCAGUUCAGAAUUCUCUGGAUAUAAAGAGCAAGAACGAGCCCCAGGGCAUCCCACUUCUUGCCUCACAGGUCAGCAGGAGCUGCUGUGGAGGAAAGGGCUCAGAGGCCACUCCGGAAACCUACUCCAGGUGCCACAGGCAGGCCACCUCACCUGAACCGGACUUGAUCUAAGGGCUGAAGCUAGGCUCAUGCGUAUGGUUUCCAGUUCUUGGCUUUUUGUCCCUGACUGCAUUUUUUCCCAUGUCACAAUCCCCUGUGUCCUGGGACAAAAGUGACUGGCCAGCGUGGGACCAGAAGAAGGCUGGGAGCUUCCCGGACUCUUGCCAGACUGUGGCCUGGGCUCCCACUUAAAGAAAAGAGGGUCCCCAGCACCAAAGAGAGGUCACCGUCCCCCAGAUGAAGCUCCAAGACACUAACCAGCAGGCACGGAUUUAUGGAAGCACAUAAUACAAAGAUUUCAGGACAGGAGGAGAAAAUACCAAAUAAUAGGGCUGAUUCUACCCAACGGGAUUAAAAUUCCUCCAAGAUUACUGCUUAAGUCUUUUUCCUCAAUAGGCCUAGGAUGUGUAUUUUUCUGAAAGUUCCCUUCUUUCUGACCAAAGAUAAUCCCAUUCUAGACCAUUAGCGUGUUUUUACUCAGGCAAGAUUACUCAUUAUGGCCCAUUCUCUCUCUCUCUCUUUCUCUUUUUUUAAGCUUUUAUUUAUUUAUUUGACAGAGAUCACAAGUUAGCAGAAAGGUA
Long non-coding RNA from Mustela erminea (ermine), 962 nucleotides. RefSeq lists it as uncharacterized. NCBI's taxonomy places the organism in Eukaryota, Metazoa, Chordata, Mammalia, Carnivora, Mustelidae. The record is from RefSeq and is a predicted model, not a curated record. The transcript is spliced from 3 exons.